This is a long non-coding RNA of Astatotilapia calliptera (eastern happy), 1080 nucleotides long. NCBI's taxonomy places the organism in Eukaryota, Metazoa, Chordata, Actinopteri, Cichliformes, Cichlidae. The record is from Ensembl.
GAGGGUCGCAACUGCUUCCUCCCUCAGGCCAAAUCUGGCUCGGCUAUGCGAGAGGAAACGCUGCCAGGUCUCUAGCAGCAAGGAGUAGGCAAGAGAAGCCAUGUUCAGAAGAACAGUUCAUUUUCUACAGUGUUCCAUUCAUGUUCAGAAGAAGGUUAUAGAACUGUUAAUACAGACAUUUCAAUCUAAAUACAGCAGAUAUAGAAGACUGAAAGAAACACACAAGUUCACUGACUAAAAAUAUCUUAUUAUUAUUUUAUUUAUGUAUUACAGAUUGAUUUAUUUUCUUAUUAAUUCUUAAUUUGUUUAUUCAUUUUUCAUAUUUUGUGUUAAAAAAUAAAAAUAAAGAGAUUUGAGAAGAUUGGAAUUUUUUAACCAUGCCUUUCUUGUGGAAAACCUAAUGCGGCCCAGCCUCACCCAGACUCUGCCUGCAGCGGCCCCCAGCUAAAUUGAUAAGAGAGGGUACGACCUCUCUCAUGGCCCCAAGUGGUGUGUGCAUGCCAGAGCACUCUGGAAGGCACACAGAGUCUUUACAGACUACUCAGGAUCAAACCUCUAUCAUUAUGCAAUCGAUUAUACAACUCUAAGCAUAUAUGAGUAAAUAUUUCUAAGCAUAAAUGACAAUCAACAAUAUAAACCUUACAGCUGGUUUUAAUAACAGAAUUCAUUUGUUUCUCAAACGAGAAAGAGCUAUCGAGAAACACUCCUAAAUCUUUAGUUCUUAACUUUUCCAGUGGGCCAAGGUCAACAUUAUCUGCUAAUGCUAAAUAGGCUGCCGUUAUUAACUAAUGCUAAUUUGACAUGAAUUAGCAUUAUGCACUAAUGCUAACACUUACUUUUUUUAAAAAUGUGAGUAGCUAAUGCUAACACUAUUUCCCUUAACUUUAUAACAAUGUGAACGGCUAAUGCUAACACUCUUUUUCCUAGCAUUAUAACAUCUGAGCUGCUAAUGCUAAGUAGGCUGCCAUUAGCACCUACGUCUAAUUUAAGGCAAAUACGCAUUAGAACCUAAUGCUCAUAUCGUUUUCCUUUGCUUUAUAACAAUGUGAGCAGCUACUGCUAAAUAGCAUUAGCUAAUAA